GUCGUCAGCUCGUGUCGUGAGAUGUUGGGUUAAGUCCCGUAACGAGCGCAACCCUUUUCCUUAGUUACCAGCACGUUAUGGUGGGCACUCUAAUGAGACUGCCGGUGACAAACCGGAGGAAGGUGGGGAUGACGUCAAGUCCUCAUGGCCCUUAUGGGUAGGGCUUCACACGUCAUACAAUGGUACAUACAGAGCGCCGCCAACCCGCGAGGGGGAGCUAAUCGCAGAAAGUGUAUCGUAGUCCGGAUUGUAGUCUGCAACUCGACUGCAUGAAGUUGGAAUCGCUAGUAAUCGCGGAUCAGCAUGUCGCGGUGAAUACGUUCCCGGGA
RNAcentral lists this ribosomal RNA (329 nucleotides) under uncultured Pseudomonas sp. RNAcentral's name for it is "bacterial SSU rRNA". It matches the Rfam family "Bacterial small subunit ribosomal RNA", at positions 1051 to 1378 of the family's 1533-position model. The record is from RNAcentral. Lineage: Bacteria; Pseudomonadati; Pseudomonadota; Gammaproteobacteria; Pseudomonadales; Pseudomonadaceae.